RNAcentral lists this ribosomal RNA (274 nucleotides) under uncultured bacterium. RNAcentral's name for it is "partial 16S ribosomal RNA". It matches the Rfam family "Bacterial small subunit ribosomal RNA", at positions 523 to 796 of the family's 1533-position model. The record is from RNAcentral.
AUACGAAUGGUGCGAGCGUUGUUCGGAAUCACUGGGCAUAAAGAGCACGUAGGCGGCUCGGUCAGUCAGCUGUGAAAUCCCCCGUCUCAACCGGGGAACUGCAGCUGAUACUGCCGGGCUAGAGUGCGGGAGGGGAGAGCGGAAUUCCUGGUGGAGCGGUGAUAUGCGUAGAUAUCAGGAGGAACGCCGGAGGCGAAAGCGGCUCUCUGGCCCGCAACUGACGCUGAGGUGCGAAAGCUAGGGGAGCGAACAGGAUUAGAAACCCCAGUAGUCC